GAGUCUAAACUUACUUUUAAUCCUUUCUCUGUCUGUAUCUCUACACCCCAUCUCUGUCUCUUUCAUAUUUCCUUUCUCUAUAUCUAUCGUUCUUCCUCCAAAAGAUGGCCAGAUGGGCUGUUUGCAUGUCAGUCACAAGCCGUGAUUGCAUUGUCCCUUGUUUCUCUUGCUUUGUUGUUGCUGUUGUUAUAUUUAGGCGGUUCUUUCUUGCUUUGCUGCUUCCUUAUCUUAUUAUUAUUUAUCCCCCGUCUCGCCCCACUGGCCUGCCGUUUCCUGCUCAGUAAGAAAUUUCUUUUUCACCUUUUUUUUUCUGGUUUUGCUUCCGUCAAAUCUGCAGUUCCACAGAAGCCUUUUCUUGGACGUUGCUUUAUUAGGCUUUCCUUCACAAAACCCAUGUCAAGAGAUGCAGCCUCAGCUUCUUUCUAUCAAUGAUGAUGUAGGUAAAGGAGUUGUUGGUAGGGAUGGAACUCGAAAGAAGCGAGAAGGGUCUCCAUUGAGCAAUCUUGAGCUUGGAAUUGGCGAUUCUAGAGGGUUGAGAGGCGUGGUUAAGGAGGAAAAGGAUCAGCUUGUGUUCACAGCUGAGCAACUUCAACAGCUGCAGCUUCAAGUUGUCAUUUUUAGGUACAUAGUUGCUGGACUACCUGUGCCUAUCGAUCUUGUUCUUCCUGUUUGGCGGAGUCUUGCGGCCUCCCUGGGCUCUUCCAAGAGUGGAAUCUACGACCAACUCCCUAGUUUCUUAGGAUUCACUCCUAGAGAUUUUGAUUACCGAAGCAUGAUGGAUGCUGAACCUGGGAGGUGCCGAAGAACUGAUGGCAAGAAAUGGAGGUGUUACAGAGACGUGGUUCCUAAUCAAAAGUACUGUGAAAGGCACAUGCAUAGAGGCUGUCAGCGUUCAAGAAAGCAUGUGGAAACUUCUGAAGAUGACACGAAAGCUAAUUCCUCAGCAAUCAACUCUGAUAUCUUUGCAUCAUCUAUGAAUACUUCAAAUGCUACCACUACUGAUAGCAGGACGCCUGCUAUGCUCUCUACUAGCCUUAAUCUUACAGUACCCUGUCCCAGCAUUAGCAAAAGUGUCCCUGAAACACUUAAAAGUAGCUCUGCACCCUAUACUGGAAAUGGGAAUUGGGAAAGCAAAGGUGACAAUGUUAUGACAGUCAACAAUGGCACCAGUACCAGUUCUUUAAUCCGAGUUCUAGCUGACAAAAAUAACACAAAAUAUGGAAGUAACUGCACUGAUGGCAUAGGCUUCGAAUGUUCCAACAUUAGUACCAACAAAAUUGAUCAGAGCAGUGGAGGAAACAAGAAAUCUGGUGAUGCUUCUGUUGUUCCUGGGUUUGGUUUGUCUCCAAAGAGUGUUCUCCAAUGUAGCACAGCUAGCAACUGCAAUCAAUUGAACUUUGACUGUAAGACAGAAGUGGAAGUGGAACCACUGAGAUGCCGCAGAACAGAUGGUAAAAAAUGGCGAUGCAGCAGGGAUGUGGUACCUGAUAAGAAGUAUUGUGAGAGGCACUUACACAGGGGUGUAAAAAAGGCAGUUGCAGGUUCUAAACUGAUAAUUGGUGCUCCUGCUGCUCCUCCGUCUCAUAACAUUCAAACUUGCGGGACAGCCACAAAAGUUGAGAAGCUGAAUACCAAUCUCUCCAUCUCAAUUGCAGCAAAUCCCCAGCAUAUGUCUGAUGCCGAUUCUAGCAGCUUCAGCAACAGUGAUGCCACAACUGUGACAGAUGAAAAUGUUACCAGUUCUCACAUUCUAACUUUAUCUCCAUGAUUUCUUUGCCAAACUCCGAUUCUGAAGCCCUGUUCUCAUUUGGAGCACCAGCUAGCUACUAUAUGUUAACAGCAGCAGAGGCAUCUGCACAAUCAUUGGCUUUCCAGCGGUGGGUAUUUGGCCAUGCGGGACUCAAAUUUUCCAUUUCAUCGUUCAUGCUGGUGCUGGGGAUGCAAAACUCUUUGCCCGGAAUGGCUAGUGGACAAAGCUUAUGAAUGUUCCCAGACAAGUAUUUAGGAAAUCAAAGUUACUUUUUUUUUUUUCUGUAUUUCCUUCUA
RNA transcript from Coffea eugenioides, 2046 nucleotides. It is a transcript of the gene named growth-regulating factor 9-like, with no coding region annotated. NCBI's taxonomy places the organism in Eukaryota, Viridiplantae, Streptophyta, Magnoliopsida, Gentianales, Rubiaceae. The transcript is spliced from 5 exons. The record is from RefSeq and is a predicted model, not a curated record.